UCAUAAGGUGUGACGAAAUUUUUGUGUUGGUUGUCACCAUCUCAACUUAUUAUAUACGAUAAGCAUAUUUGCAGAGCAGGAAAUGAGCUGGGAGUUCUGCUAAGAGGCAAAUUUUGCAUUCCUUAUUUCUAUAAUGAAAUCCAGUUAUCAACUAAACCACAACAAUGACGUGUGAUAUGAAUUGCAACUAUUCUAGGCACCAGACAGCACGAGGAAAGGUAAAAAAAGAUAAUAGCCCAAAUCAAAUUCCAAAAUGCACUAUACCUAGAAAGAUGAGGAUAAGGCAG
Molecule: unclassified non-coding RNA, 287 nt
Filed under: Hevea brasiliensis (rubber tree)
Lineage: Eukaryota; Viridiplantae; Streptophyta; Magnoliopsida; Malpighiales; Euphorbiaceae
Source: RNAcentral